UACGGAGGGGGCAAGCGUUGUUCGGAAUUACUGGGCGUAAAGGGCGCGUAGGCGGCCAAGUAAGUCGGAUGUGAAAUCCCCAGGCUCAACCUGGGAACUGCAUCCGAUACUGGAUGGCUUGAAUUCGGUAGAGGGAUGCAGAAUUCCAGGUGUAGCGGUGAAAUGCGUAGAUAUCUGGAGGAAUACCGGUGGCGAAGGCGGCAUCCUGGACCGACAUUGACGCUGAUGAGCGAAAGCUAGGGGAGCAAACGGG
Molecule: ribosomal RNA, 253 nt
Filed under: uncultured bacterium
Lineage: Bacteria
Description: partial 16S ribosomal RNA
Rfam family: Bacterial small subunit ribosomal RNA
Source: RNAcentral